UACGUAGGGGGCAAGCGUUGUCCGGAUUUAUUGGGCGUAAAGAGCGUGUAGGCGGCCAAAUAGGUCGGUUGUGAAAACUGGAGGCUUAACCUCCAGACGUCGACCGAAACCAUCUGGCUAGAGUCCGGAAGAGGAGAGUGGAAUUCCUGGUGUAGCGGUGAAAUGCGCAGAUAUCAGGAGGAACACCGGUGGCGAAGGCGGGUCUCUGGGCCGAUACUGACGCUGAGGAGCGAAAGCGUGGGGAGCGAACAGG
This 253-nucleotide ribosomal RNA is filed under the name uncultured bacterium. RNAcentral's name for it is "partial 16S ribosomal RNA". It matches the Rfam family "Bacterial small subunit ribosomal RNA", at positions 524 to 776 of the family's 1533-position model. The record is from RNAcentral.